This 235-nucleotide long non-coding RNA is filed under the name Lathyrus oleraceus (garden pea). RNAcentral's name for it is "Pisum sativum (pea) long non-coding RNA (PSAT_LNC033491)". The record is from RNAcentral. Lineage: Eukaryota; Viridiplantae; Streptophyta; Magnoliopsida; Fabales; Fabaceae.
GGAAUCAACACAAAUUGGUCAAAGGAGGACUUUUACCAAAUUAAGAUCAUUCAUUCAUUUUGGGAGAUGAAAUGUACAUUUCAUCAAUCCCCUAAAUCCAAUGAUCUUAACUCAACAAAGUCAAAUAGGAGAUGAAAUGUACAUUUCAUCAAUCCCCUAAAUCCAAUGAUCUUAACUCAACAAAGUCAAAUCAACCUUGACCAAGGCCCAACAACACAAGUCAAACUCAACAAGU